AGUUUCUCUCUUAUCCAUCAGACCGACUAGAUGAAAAAUUUGAAAAUGCAAUCCCUCAAACAAGCACAACGCCGCCUUCAAUUUCUCUCUCAUCCGUCAGAGAAAUCGAUUAUCAUCUCUCCUCUACUUCAACAAGCCUAUGCAUCAUCAUCAUCAUCAUCGAGUGAAAUUGAGAAACCCACCAAUUCAAAACUAGCGCUAACACAACAAGAGCUAACUAAAAUCAAUCUUUUGAUCCCUCGCCUAUGCCUUUCUGACCAUCUAAGCACAGCAAUCCACCUAACUGCUACUGCCCUUCUCACAAAUCCAGCUUACAAAUCCAUAUCUUUCUCCAUUCUGAUUCAUUCCCUCACUUCCCAACCUGACAUGACCAAAUCCAUGUCACUUCUUACCAUUCUUAGACACACCCCACAAGCCCAUCCUCAUCUCACUCGCAUCACUGUCAUGCUCGUUAGCUCAUAUGUCAAAAAGAAGAGACCCAAAGAAGCCUACAAAUUGUACCAAUGGAUGCUCAGGCCUGGCUUUCCAUGUAAAGUGGAAAAGAUUGUGUAUAAGCUUUUGGUUAAUGGGUUUUGCGAAUGUGGGUUGAUUCUUGAGGCUUUCAGGGUUUUGAGGGAUAUGGUGGGUGUGGGUUUUGUGCCUGGUUCUGGAUUAAGGAGAAGGGUUUAUAGGAGCUUGUUGAGAGAGGCUAGGGUAUGGGAGGCAGUUAGGUUGGAUGAGGCUUUGCGCAGUUAUUUUGGUGAUGCUAAUAGUGAGGGUGUUAAAAAGGUGAUGGAAUUGUUGGAUUCUACGAUUGGGAGCUGGACAGAGUAGGAAAAGAUUGUAGAAUUUACUCAGUAUGUUGAAAUCGUCCUUUAAGCUUUGACAAUGAAAGAUAAAUUUUUUCUCUAUAAGGAUGAGACCUUCUUCAACUAAGAUUCUGAUAUGGUAUCUAUGCGGUAUCUGAUGCUGCCGUGAGUCCAGAUGUCCAGUCAGACAGCCCAUUCAGCGUGUGAACAAAGAAAAUAGUGAGGUAAUGGAGAAUUGAAAGUGUCUGUUGACCAAAUUGCAGCUGAAAUCUCGUCGUGGCCAAACUGUCUUCAGCUUAUGGGAAGCUAAAAUUAUUAUGUGAAUUUUUAGCAUCGCUUGCCUAAAGCCAAAUUGACAUGGAGGUUCCCAAAUUACUUUCCAACUUAUUUGGCCGUCACGUGUCAAUCUUUGAAAUCGACAGUCUUCCCUAGUUCAUACUACAUAUUUGUGAGGCAAUUUGCUCUCUCAAUGCAGGUUGUUUAGUGUUGCCAUACCCACCCCAGGGCAUCAAGCUAUGGUUUCACCUUCUUUUUGUUCUCACUACUGUGAAUAUUGUAUUUAUUUUUGAAUUAGAAUUUGCUCUCAAAUGAGUUUUCUGCCA
Hevea brasiliensis (rubber tree) is the source of this 1390-nucleotide RNA transcript. It is a transcript of the gene named putative pentatricopeptide repeat-containing protein At1g74580, with no coding region annotated. The transcript has 3 exons. The record is from RefSeq and is a predicted model, not a curated record. Lineage: Eukaryota; Viridiplantae; Streptophyta; Magnoliopsida; Malpighiales; Euphorbiaceae.